GGGUGUGAAGUGUUAUGGUAGCACGGCGGUCUCCAAAACCGUAAGCUGAGGUUCGACUCCUUACACGCCUGCCA
Molecule: transfer RNA, 74 nt
Filed under: bacterium
Lineage: Bacteria
Description: tRNA-Trp
Rfam family: tRNA
About the family: Transfer RNA (tRNA) molecules are approximately 80 nucleotides in length.
Source: RNAcentral